GGUCGAUAGUCUUUCGCCCCAUGCGCAGAUUUGACGAUCGAUUUGCACGUCAGAACCGCUGCGAGCCUCCACCAGAGUUUCCUCUGGCUUCACCCUAUCCACGCAUAGUUCACCAUCUUUCGGGUCCGAACAGUUAUGCUCUUACUCAAAUCCAUCCGAAGACAUCAGGAUCGGUCGAUGAUGCACCCGUAAGGGCUCUCACCUCCGUUCACUUUCAUUACGCUUGAGGGUUUAACACCCAAAAACUCGCAUAAAUGUUCGACUCCUUGGUCCGUGUUUCAAGACGGGUGGCUGAUGACCAUUAUGCCAGCAUCCUAGCCGAAGCGCGGUCCUCAGUCCCAGCGGCCGUAUUACACAGCAGGCUAUAACACUCCCGGAGGAGUCACAUUCCUGAAGUCUUUAUCCGGCCGCCAAAACUGAUGCUGGCCUCAACCAAGCGGAGUGCACCGGUGAGAACACCGGAUGAUCCGCAAGGCAAAGGUCUGGUCAUAAGCCCUUCCCUUUCAACAAUUUCACGUACUAUUUAACCCUCUUUUCAAAGUGCUUUUCAUCUUUCGAUCACUCUACUUGUGCGCUAUCGGUCUCUGGCCGGUAUUUAGCUUUAGAAGAAAUUUACCUCCCAUUUAGAGCAGCAUUCCCAAACUACUCGACUCGUCGAAGGAGCUUUACAGAGGCUCGGUAUCCAAUCGUACGGGGCUCUCACCCUCUAAGGCGUCCUGUUCCAAGGAACUCGAAAGGUACCUAACCAAAAGCAUCCUCUACAAAUUACAAUUCGGACCAGAAGGCCAGAUUUCAAAUUUGAGCUGUUGCCGCUUCACUCGCCGUUACUAGGGCAUACCUGUUGUUCUUAUU
Molecule: ribosomal RNA, 852 nt
Filed under: Microdochium bolleyi
Lineage: Eukaryota; Fungi; Ascomycota; Sordariomycetes; Xylariales; Microdochiaceae
Description: partial 28S ribosomal RNA
Source: RNAcentral